GAUGAACGCUGGCGGCGUGCCUAAUACAUGCAAGUCGAGCGAACAGACGAGGAGCUUGCUCCUCUGACGUUAGCGGCGGACGGGUGAGUAACACGUGGAUAACCUACCUAUAAGACUGGGAUAACUUCGGGAAACCGGAUCUAAUACCGGAUAAUAUAUUGAACCGCAUGGUUCAAUAGUGAAAGACGGUUUUGCUGUCACUUAUAGAUGGAUCCGCGCCGCAUUAGCUAGUUGGUAAGGUAACGGCUUACCAAGGCGACGAUGCGUAGCCGACCUGAGAGGGUGAUCGGCCACACUGGAACUGAGACACGGUCCAGACUCCUACGGGAGGCAGCAGUAGGGAAUCUUCCGCAAUGGGCGAAAGCCUGACGGAGCAACGCCGCGUGAGUGAUGAAGGUCUUCGGAUCGUAAAACUCUGUUAUUAGGGAAGAACAAAUGUGUAAGUAACUAUGCACGUCUUGACGGUACCUAAUGAGAAAGCCACGGCUAACUACGUG
This 497-nucleotide ribosomal RNA is filed under the name uncultured bacterium. RNAcentral's name for it is "partial 16S ribosomal RNA". It matches the Rfam family "Bacterial small subunit ribosomal RNA", at positions 28 to 507 of the family's 1533-position model. The record is from RNAcentral.